UACGGGGGGAGCAAGCGUUGUUCGGAUUUACUGGGCGUAAAGGGCGCGUAGGCGGCCACCGCAAGUCGGUUGUGAAAUCUCUGGGCUUAACCCAGAAAGGUCAACCGGUACUGCGGGGCUAGAGUGCAGAAGGGGCAACUGGAGUUCUCGGUGUAGCGGUGAAAUGCGUAGAUAUCGAGAGGAACACCUGCGGCGAAGGCGGGUUGCUGGGCUGACACUGACGCUGAAGCGCGAAAGCUAGGGGAGCGAACGGG
This 254-nucleotide ribosomal RNA is filed under the name uncultured bacterium. RNAcentral's name for it is "partial 16S ribosomal RNA". It matches the Rfam family "Bacterial small subunit ribosomal RNA", at positions 524 to 776 of the family's 1533-position model. The record is from RNAcentral.